This 48-nucleotide ribosomal RNA is filed under the name Parietaria debilis. RNAcentral's name for it is "partial 26S ribosomal RNA". The record is from RNAcentral. Lineage: Eukaryota; Viridiplantae; Streptophyta; Magnoliopsida; Rosales; Urticaceae.
GACCCCAGGUCAGGCGGGACUACCCGYUGAAUUUAAGCAUAUCAAUAA